Molecule: long non-coding RNA, 717 nt
Organism: Siniperca chuatsi (mandarin fish)
Lineage: Eukaryota; Metazoa; Chordata; Actinopteri; Centrarchiformes; Sinipercidae
Exons: 6
Source: RefSeq, a predicted model, not a curated record
AUGGAAAAAAACAAGCCAUGAAGCCACAAAUGAUCAAUUCAGCCAUCAUUGCCACUACGUUGGUUAGCAACAAGCCAACUUUACAUAACGUUAUAUAAAUAUUUUUAGUGCCCCUGCAUUCUUACAAGACCGAGGGGCAAAGGAACAGGGUGCAGGGUGUGUAUAGCACUGUCUCCGGUGCCUGCAGAACAGAAAUCAACACAACCACAGUAUCCUUCACUUCAAUGGUGAGACAAAACCGUAUGGUUAAAUCGGGACUUUGGGAGCCAGAGUAGGAACAUCUGAAAACAUCAUAAUGUCUUAUGACCGGAUUCUUUCCAUCGAAAAUUUGAGUGAUGUUCCAAAUCCAUGGAAGGGAUUCACUAUGAACCGCUGCUUGGUGCUGGCACUGGUCGUACUGCUUGUGAGCUCAGGGGUCAAUGAACUGCAUGAUGCUAUGGAUUCUUUUGUUGAGGAGACAGGUAUAAGGUCUUUCUUUGGAAGUCUGCAGGAUGGUUCGAUAACUCAGAUUUCCAUAUGGGACAGUUUCAUGUGGUGGUGGGGAUCUGAAGAACUUGGAGCGAUAAGAAGAAGAAAAAAGCAGAUUGGCAACAAAGCAAUCCUGAAACCCAAAUCUAAAGAAUGAUUUGCAUACAGCUGUUCAGAAAAGUGAAGGUUCAAAAAAUGGAUGUCAUCGACUGUUACAACAGGAUUCUAAAUAAAGAACACAAACAGUUA